CUACUUACCUGGCAGGGGAGAUACCACGAUCAUGACGGUGGUUUUCCCAGGGCGAGACUCAGCCAUUGCACUACGGAUGUGCUGACCCCUGCGAUUUCCCCAAAUGUGGGGAAACUCGACUGCCUAAUUUGUGGUAGCAGGGGACUGCGUUCAUGCUUUCCUCUG
Molecule: small nuclear RNA, 165 nt
Organism: Sapajus apella (tufted capuchin)
Lineage: Eukaryota; Metazoa; Chordata; Mammalia; Primates; Cebidae
Product: U1 spliceosomal RNA
Exons: 1
Source: RefSeq, a predicted model, not a curated record